CUACGGGAGGCAGCAGUGGGGAAUUUUGGACAAUGGGCGAAAGCCUGAUCCAGCAAUGCCGCGUGUGUGAAGAAGGCCUUCGGGUUGUAAAGCACUUUUGUCCGGAAAGAAAUGGCUCUGGUUAAUACCUGGGGUCGAUGACGGUACCGGAAGAAUAAGGACCGGCUAACUACGUGCCAGCAGCCGCGGUAAUACGUAGGGUCCAAGCGUUAAUCGGAAUUACUGGGCGUAAAGCGUGCGCAGGCGGUUGUGCAAGACCGAUGUGAAAUCCCCGAGCUUAACUUGGGAAUUGCAUUGGUGACUGCACGGCUAGAGUGUGUCAGAGGGGGGUAGAAUUCCACGUGUAGCAGUGAAAUGCGUAGAGAUGUGGAGGAAUACCGAUGGCGAAGGCAGCCCCCUGGGAUAACACUGACGCUCAUGCACGAAAGCGUGGGGAGCAAACAGGAUUAGAUACCCGUGUAGUCC
This 465-nucleotide ribosomal RNA is filed under the name uncultured bacterium. RNAcentral describes it as "bacterial SSU rRNA". It matches the Rfam family "Bacterial small subunit ribosomal RNA", at positions 339 to 796 of the family's 1533-position model. The record is from RNAcentral.